This 201-nucleotide ribosomal RNA is filed under the name uncultured Geobacter sp. Its description in RNAcentral is "partial 16S ribosomal RNA". It matches the Rfam family "Bacterial small subunit ribosomal RNA", at positions 334 to 526 of the family's 1533-position model. The record is from RNAcentral. Lineage: Bacteria; Pseudomonadati; Thermodesulfobacteriota; Desulfuromonadia; Geobacterales; Geobacteraceae.
UACUCCUACGGGAGGCAGCAGUAGGGAAUAUUGCGCAAUGGGGGACAGCCUGACGCAGCAACGCCGCGUGAGUGAUGAAGGCCUUCGGGUCUGUAAAGCUCUGUUCUUAGGGAACGAUGGUUAGGGAGCUAAUACCUCCUUAUUUGAUGGUACCUAAUGAGAAAGGACCGGCUAACUUCGUGCCAGCAGCCGCGGUAAUAC